CAGCAGCGCGGUAAUACGUAGGGGGCGAGCGUUGUCCGGAAUCAUUGGGCGUAAAGCGCGCGUAGGCGGUUAUUUAAGUCAGACGUGAAAAACCUGGGCUUAACCCAGGUCUUGCGUUUGAAACUGGAUAGCUUGAGGGCAGGAGAGGAUAGUGGAAUUCCUAGUGUAGCGGUGAAAUGCGUAGAUAUUAGGAGGAACACCAGUGGCGAAGGCGACUAUCUGGCCUGUACCUGACGCUGAGGUGCGAAAGCUGGGGGAGCGAACGGGAUUAGAUACCCCGGUAGUCCCAGCCGUAAACGAUGGGCACUAGGUGUAGGAGGUAUCGACCCCUUCUGUGCCGUAGCUAACGCAAUAAGUGCCCCGCCUGGGGAGUACGGUCGCAAGACUGAAACUCAAAGGAAUUGACGGGGGCCCGCACAAGCGGUGGAGCAUGUGGUUUAAUUCGACGCAACGCGAAGAACCUUACCAGGGCUUGACAUCCCUUGCUAUCCUUGGAAACAAGGAGUUCCCUUCGGGGACAAGGAGACAGGAGGUGCAUGGCC
Molecule: ribosomal RNA, 542 nt
Filed under: uncultured archaeon
Lineage: Archaea
Description: bacterial SSU rRNA
Rfam family: Bacterial small subunit ribosomal RNA
Source: RNAcentral